Non-coding RNA from Nicotiana tabacum (common tobacco), 100 nucleotides. NCBI's taxonomy places the organism in Eukaryota, Viridiplantae, Streptophyta, Magnoliopsida, Solanales, Solanaceae. The record is from Rfam.
GUCGUUUAGGAGACAUUUGAUAAAAUUGGAAGGACAGAAAGAAAAUUUGCGUAGCCCAUGUGUAAUGGAUGAUACACAAAUUGAGAAAGAUUCCUUUCAU